AACGAACGCUGGCGGCAGGCCUAACACAUGCAAGUCGAACGCUCCGCAAGGGGAGUGGCGCACGGGUGAGUAACACGUGGGAACCUACCUUCUGGUACGGAACAACCAAGGGAAACUCUGGCUGAUACCGUAUACGACCUCCGGGUGAAAGAUUGAUCGCCGGAAGAGGGGCCCGCGUCCGGAUUAGGUAGUUGGUGAGGUAACGGCUCACCAAGCCUGCGAUCGGUAGCUGGUCUGAGAGGANGACCAGCCACACUGGGACUGAGACACGGCCCAGACUUCUACGGGAGGCAGCAGUGGGGAAUAUUGGACAAUGGGCGCAAGCCUGAUCCAGCCAUGCCGCGUGAGUGAUGAAGGCCUUCGGUUG
Molecule: ribosomal RNA, 367 nt
Filed under: uncultured bacterium
Lineage: Bacteria
Description: bacterial SSU rRNA
Rfam family: Bacterial small subunit ribosomal RNA
Source: RNAcentral